CCUACGGGUGGCAGCAGUGGGGAAUAUUGGACAAUGGGGGGAACCCUGAUCCAGCCAUGCCGCGUGUGUGAAGAAGGCCCUCGGGUUGUAAAGCACUUUCAGUGAGGAAGAACGCCUGGUGGUUAAUACCCAUCAGGAAAGACAUCACUCACAGAAGAAGCACCGGCUAACUCCGUGCCAGCAGCCGCGGUAAUACGGAGGGUGCGAGCGUUAAUCGGAAUUACUGGGCGUAAAGCGCGCGUAGGUGGCUUGAUAAGCCGGUUGUGAAAGCCCCGGGCUCAACCUGGGAACGGCAUCCGGAACUGUCAAGCUAGAGUGCAGGAGAGGAAGGUAGAAUUCCCGGUGUAGCGGUGAAAUGCGUAGAGAUCGGGAGGAAUACCAGUGGCGAAGGUGGCCUUCUGGACUGACACUGACACUGAGGUGCGAAAGCGUGGGUAGCAAACAGGAUUAGAUACCCUGGUAGUC
This 465-nucleotide ribosomal RNA is filed under the name Vreelandella stevensii. Its description in RNAcentral is "partial 16S ribosomal RNA". It matches the Rfam family "Bacterial small subunit ribosomal RNA", at positions 338 to 795 of the family's 1533-position model. The record is from RNAcentral. Lineage: Bacteria; Pseudomonadati; Pseudomonadota; Gammaproteobacteria; Oceanospirillales; Halomonadaceae.